AUUGAACGCUGGCGGCAUGCCUUACACAUGCAAGUCGAACGGCAGCGGACCUUCGGGUGCCGGCGAGUGGCGAACGGGUGAGUAAUAUAUCGGAACGUACCUUUCAGUGGGGGAUAACGUAGCGAAAGUUACGCUAAUACCGCAUAUUCUGUGAGCAGGAAAGCAGGGGAUCGCAAGACCUUGCGCUGAUUGAGCGGCCGAUAUCAGAUUAGCUAGUUGGUGAGGUAAAGGCUCACCAAGGCGACGAUCUGUAGCGGGUCUGAGAGGAUGAUCCGCCACACUGGAACUGAGACACGGUCCAGACUCCUACGGAGGCAGCAGUGGGGAAUUUUGGACAAUGGGCGCAAGCCUGAUCCAGCCAUGCCGCGUGAGUGAAGAAGGCCUU
This 385-nucleotide ribosomal RNA is filed under the name uncultured bacterium. RNAcentral's name for it is "bacterial SSU rRNA". It matches the Rfam family "Bacterial small subunit ribosomal RNA", at positions 30 to 418 of the family's 1533-position model. The record is from RNAcentral.